GGCGGUGUAGAUCUGGAAUUGGGAGGCUGUGCGCGAACCUUCGGCCGAGGCGAGCGGCGCGCGAUGGAGGUGGAUCGCAGAGGCGGCCGGCGACGCAAACGGAGGCGAAAUGCAUGAAUGCUCAAUCAACAACAAUUACAAGAUGGAGAAGAGCCUAGGAUGCUGCAGGAAAUGGAGGACUGCUGUAGAGUUUUGGGGAGUGAUGUUGGACUGGGAGUGGAUUCAAGAACAUAUUCCACAGCUGUUCAGGGAUGGGAGAAGGCCUUUCAAGUUUGAGCGGUUGCAGAGGGAAGUCUACCUCCUUAUAGAAGCUAUCUCAGGUCAUGAAUAAAAAUAUAAGAAAAAGGGGAAUUGGAACUCGAGACAACCAUGAUCUGGUGAAUCAAUGUGAUGGUAUGCCCAAAUUCCCAGCAUCAUUCAUCUGUGAGGAAGCAAUGACACACCUUGAGGUGCAUCAACACCAAAGCCUUGGACGUUGGAACAUUUGGCAGAAUUUGCAUUAGCAGAAGAGGUGGUGGAAACCUCAUGAAAUCUAUCUAUUGCACAAUAAUUGAAUGAAGUAUCAGUGCAACAAACACCAAAAGGUCUGCAGCAGUUAGGCUUGCAAGGAGAAAGUAGAACCUGUCCAUGUGCCCUCUGUUGAGGUUUACUGGAAUCCAUCCUGGGCAAUUGCCUUUAGACGUUAUCUCCAUCA
Molecule: long non-coding RNA, 694 nt
Organism: Zingiber officinale
Lineage: Eukaryota; Viridiplantae; Streptophyta; Magnoliopsida; Zingiberales; Zingiberaceae
Exons: 4
Source: RefSeq, a predicted model, not a curated record